Molecule: RNA transcript, 995 nt
Organism: Mandrillus leucophaeus (drill)
Lineage: Eukaryota; Metazoa; Chordata; Mammalia; Primates; Cercopithecidae
Gene name: ubiquitin-conjugating enzyme E2 E3 pseudogene
Exons: 1
Source: RefSeq, a predicted model, not a curated record
CAACCCCCUCUGACUUUCAGUGUUCCACAUUCCCCGGUCAGAGCCUCCUCGGCUUCUUUUUUUCCCUCUCUCCCCUCUUCCCCCGCCACAGCUGCCUCCAUUUCCUUAAGGAAGAGUUUUUUUCUCUUUUCCUCCCCCACACCAUAGUGGCGUGUGAACAGGCCAGGCAGGCGGCUGAGUUUUCCAAGCGAUAACUUCACCAAGAUGUCCAGUGAUAGGCAAAGGUCUGAUGGUGACAGCCCCAGCAUCAGCAGUGGCAGAUGUGGACAAGCAAGACCCAGCCGCUCCAGAGGCUGAAGAACAUGAGGAAAGAAAACCUUCUGCCACCCAGCAGAAGAAAAACACCAAACUCUCUAGCAAAACCACUGCUAAGUUAUCCACUAGUGCUAAAAGAAUUCAGAAGGAGCUAGCUCAAAUAACCCUUGAUCCUUCUCCUAAUUGCAGUGCUGGGCCUGAGGAGAUAACAUUUAUGAAUGGAGAUCAACUAUACUUGGUCCACCGGGUUCUGUAUAUGAAGGUGGUGUGUUUUUUCUGGAUAUCACAUUUUCAUCAGAUUAUCCAUUUAAGCCACCAAAGGUUACUUUCCACAUCAGAAUCUAUCACUGCAACAUCAACAGUCAGGGAGUCAUCUGUCUGGACAUCCUUAAAGACAACUGGAGUCCCGCUUUGACUAUUUCAAAGGUUUUGCUGUCCAUUUGUUCCCUUUUGACAGAUUGCAACCCUGCAGAUCCUCGGGUGGAAGCAUAGCCACUCCGUAUUUGACCAACAGCACAGAACACGACAGGAUAGCCAGACAGCGGACCAAGAGAUACACAACAUAAUUCACAUAAUUUGUAUGCAGUGUGAAGGAGCAGAAGGCAUCUUCUCACUGUGCUGCAAAGCUUUAUAGCCUUUACGAUAUGAACUUCUGUGUAUAUGUUACAGUGAUUCUACUCUGCUUUUAUCCUUUGGAGUCUGGGAGACUGCCCAAAAAGGUAAAUGCGAUCAAGAGUAGA